Molecule: long non-coding RNA, 4503 nt
Organism: Brassica napus (rape)
Lineage: Eukaryota; Viridiplantae; Streptophyta; Magnoliopsida; Brassicales; Brassicaceae
Exons: 4
Source: RefSeq, a predicted model, not a curated record
AUCUUUUGUCUUAAUGGAGAGUGAUGGGUUGGAAGAGUUCCAAGCAAAGCACCAUAGUACAAUCUCAACGGAUGCAAAUGUUGUUGAUCCAUUGACCAAGCCUCUUCCAUGGCCUAAGUAUGAGAGUCAUACUGCAGCCAUGGGUAUUAAGUAUCUUAAGAUGUGAUCUUGAUUUUAGUGGGAGGCUUUAUGUUUAUGAUAUGAUGUUCAUAUUGACAUACAUUUGAUUAUGUAUUCAAACAAAUGAAAUUGUUUCAGAUUUAUUUGAUUAUUGGAUAAUUAAAUAAAUGUCCCAAAAUAAUUUAUAUCAUUCUUAUAGGUCAUCAAGUAUGUGACUUGAUCAUGAAACUCUAUAAGUGAAAGAUGCUAUAAACUAUUGAGGUCCCUAGUAUAUGAGAUUAAUAAUCAUGAGUGACUAGUAUGUGAGGUGAUUGAUGACUAAGUUUCAUGUAGUCAUUCAGUAUGUGGUAUUGAAGUCAAUCACAUGGAUAUGUGUUAGAAAACACAUGAUCGGACUGACCCGCUAUGAGAACUCUACAACAUUGCUAUAUGAGUGUCAUAAGAGUUUCUCAUUACGACUAUAGAGUAUAGUCCUUAGACCUGAGUUCGUCAUGAUUCUUUACUUGUGGAUUAGUUCACUUUGACCUUGUCAAACGUCAGUCGUAACUGGUGAUUAUAAAUGCAUUGAUUAGGUGUUCUAUGAAGUUUGUAAGGAACAAGGAUGAAACAAUAUGGGAUUUGUCCCUCCCAUAUAACGAGAGAUAAAUAUCUCUGGGCCUAUCGAAGAUUUAAUACUGUGAAAUGCAUGGCCAUGCUCAAACGAGGUGAAUGUCAGUCAUUUGUUUCAUCAGUAUAAAUCAGAGUUCGAUAAACGUGAUCUAGCUUAAUAAGGAUGACACUAGUUCUUGUCUUAUGCUGAAAUCGAGAUAUAAAGACAAAGGGAUUAUGAGAAUAAAUGAUUCAUGUACAAGUGGGAGAUUGUUGGGAAUGUCCUGAAAUCUAUUGUACUUACUCUAGUUAGAGUCGUAACGUCGAUGUUCGACAGUCGUAUAAUAUUAGGUGGUUAUAAUGUUUUGCUAGAAACCGCUUAUAAUUUAUGAAUUGAAAAUUCAUUACUAAUACUAUAUGAUCCUACAGGGUCACACACCUAAGCAAAUUGGAUCAUAAAUAUUUAGAAUUUUAUAUGUUUGUUUAUAUUAUAUAUAUGAUAUAUAAUAUACACGUGGUAUACAUAUAUGCAUGUGAUGUGAAAGGUCGUGAGUUAAGAUGUGAUAAUUAUCACUUGGGCUUAGCCCAUUAACUUCCUAAAUGUGUUUAGGUUAUGUAAUUAUAAAAGGUCACGUAAGUGACUUGAUGAUAUAUAUGCAAAAAACGGCCGACUAAAUAAAACCCUAAGGAGAUAAAGGAGUUUAUCAAGUUCUGAGAUUCGAUCUCGACGGCACUAGCAUCCCGUGCUGAUCCAGUUUGUGUGCGUGUGGAUACCGGUAGAGGCACAACGUUUGGAGUGCUUGAAAUCUCGACUUGGUUUAUUCAUUUUUCCGCUGCGAAUAACCAGGUAUAUUCAAAACUGUAAGAUCUAGAUUUUUUUCAUUAUUGACAUGAAAUUCUAGACAAACUAAAUUCAUAGGUUGAUUUAUAAAUUGUUAUAAACUGGUAUGAUUUCCAACACUAUAUUCCUCGAACAAGGUUCAUCAAGUAAACAGAACUUGGCCCAAUUAACUAGAAGGCAGUCAAAGAGAUGAUUUAAAGAGGAAAAGGAAAGAGUCUAGCUAUAAAAACAGAGGACCUAGAUGAAAAGAAGGGGAUUCACAAAUAUACAGAAGUCGGCAUAAAAACUAAGGGACAUCUUUAUCGUUCUUGCCAAAUUCAUCACCUCUUUACUAUUUCAUCGUUUUUUUCCUUGUAAUCACUUUAGAUAUUCAAUAUGCAUCUUUUAAAUAACUCACCAUCGGAUCUGUGCAUUCAUUUCGUACAUGCCGAUUAAACAAUAAAAACUUUGAUGAAUGAAUAUAUGGGGUAAAAUAUUAGAUGUACUCUAAGAGAGUAGAGAGAGAGAGAAAAAGGAGGAGAGAUGAGGGAUAACAUAUAGUAGCCAUUGAGCAUUGACUAAAGUGAAGAAAUAAGAAGAAAAAUUGUUUGAUUUCUUUUACUUUAUUUUAUGCUUUUAUGCUAGUUGCAACAGAACAUCUAUAUAUAUAUAUAUAUAUAUACUGUUUCUUUUCUUUUGGGCGCGUCACGUCAGUACCAGGUCAGAAAGUCGACUGAUGUGUUGUCGACACGUGUCAUGUUUCACAAAACGCAUCACUUCAUUUUAGAGAAAAUCUGAUGGGCCUCAAUCGUUAAGCGUAUAUAUAUGGAUAUGUGAUUUCUAAUGGGCUCAAAGAAAACAUUUUGGCCCAUUAAAAACUGUCUCUUUAGUCGCUUUUAAUUUUUCACAAGAUGGAGACGUCCUUCUCUAGGGUUCGUCGUAUCCUCCAAGCUCUGAUUAUUUCCCGCAACAAUGGUGUUUCUGAAUGUGAGUGAGACGAAUCGUCGUGAAGAAGCUCUAUGUCAAACUUUGAUUUCGUCGUUUCGUCUUUUCGUCUUUUAUUCUUAUCCUCCGAGACGUUACGAAAUGUCUUGAUUCAUUGCCUUUAAGAAACUCUUAAUUGCAUUGACGCACAUCAAGCACAAAGUCUUAUUCAAUGCUAUGUAUCCCUCUUCGAGACGGUGUUUCUACACCUAUAAAAAGGCAAGCCUUCUUGGCAAGCAUUCUUCCUUUGAAUAUCAUCCUCAUCAUUCGUGAUUACUCCAAAAAUUCAUUCUCAGUAUAUAAACAUUUGGUCUCUCUUUUCUCUCGGGACAAAAGCAUCAACUGCAUCAAGCAUGUUUGACUGCUUCAGCUUCUGUGUCCUCCUUCCCUCACGUAACUCCACCAAAUCCACUCUUUCUAAGGCUUGAUCUCCCUACCUCUCCGUCAUGAACCGUCAUCCUCUCUUCUUAAACACACCUAAAAUCUAACUCUCCGGCGGAUCCGCAGCGAAGAAGGCUAAGUCUGUAGCGGGAAUGUCUCUCCCGAGCUCAAAUAGCACCGCACAAUCGCUACAGAGAUGAUUAACAACCUUCAAUGUCCAUUGAUUAACAACCUUCAAUUUCCAUAUUAUGCUUAGAUAGAGACGAUUCCAGUUCCUCGACACAAAUGUGGCCAAGUAUUUGGUGGCCCAGGAUCGUUCUCCAGUUAAGUUCAGAGUGUUGGAUAUGGUUUGAUGUCGUACUCUUCUGGGACACACCAGAAAGCUGAGUGAGAAGUUCCAUCUUAUUGGUUACAUAUAUUCUGUAAAGUAUAUUUUUUUAUACUUUACAAUUAUGCAUCUUUAUGGAAUUUUGUAGAUUGUCAUUAAGUGUUUAGUCUUUAUUGUAACCAAUCUUUAAAGCUUCAUUUUUGGAGGACUUUAAGUCUGAACGUUCUAUAAGGUUUCAAUAAUUUUCAUGUUUCAAGGAUUUAGUAAAGAUACUGACUUUGUAACUUUAUCAUGUGAUGUUUAUUCUCUGGACAAAACGCCUAAGAGGAACCAGAUUGUCAGUGCAUCUCAACAAGAUGAGCCUCAGCUAGAAAAGAAAAGUGAUUGAAAAGGAAAAGACAAAGCCAAAAGGUCGAUGUCCAUACAUGAAAGGUGUCAAAGUUACAGUUAUGUUUCCGAAUGGAGCUUCCAUUUCUAUCUACUCUUGAGCUCAAGGAUGGUGGAUCAGAUUACCUUGGGAAGGAUGUCUCUAAAGGAUCCAACUCAGCAGACUCCUAUCGACAACUUCAUGGAACCCAAAACGAGUGGGGAUGGUGCAACCAAAAGGUGAUUCAAGGGUAAUUCAUGUUUUAGUAUUUACUCAAUAGUGGGAAACUAGAUUUUUGAUCUGCGCUUUGAAAGCGGGAUUUGUCUAUUUUGUAAACCUUUUAUUUUAUAACUUAUAAAUUUAUAUUAUACCAUGGUAUAUAAAUCAUUAUUACUAUUUUAAAUGAGUAUAAAAAGAAAUAUAUAAUGUGUUUGUGUAUAUUGUAUGUGUAAAACUUGAAAGUGUGAGAUUUUCUAUUUAUUGUAUUGAAUUGAUUCUAUUUAUUAUAUUAGUCAUUAUUUAGGAAUAUUCUCUUAUCGAGUUAAAGUGUUUUAGGAAAUAUUAAUUAAUUAUAUUAAACAAAAAUUUAUGAGAGGCAUGUCAUUGUAAAUAUCUAACAAAACUAAGGUCAAUAUCAUACGAGAGAUUCUACUAUAAUAGUAUAGAUGAUUAUAACCAUCUGCUUUCUUCUUUUUGUGUACACCUUAGACCCAAUGUAAUUUUAUUUUACUUACUUUUAUAAUAAAUGUAUAAUAAACAUUGAGAACGUAAAAUAAUUACAUUAAUGGAAAAAAUAAAAAUUUCUUAUUAAUUUAUCAAACCUUUGAUUGUAAUAAGAACAACAAAAACAAAUAGUAAAGAUUAACAUUAUUUUUCAGUAUAGAAUCAAUUAAUAUUUUAUACAUGUAUUAGGGC